Long non-coding RNA from Chrysemys picta bellii (western painted turtle), 4860 nucleotides. RefSeq lists it as uncharacterized. The record is from RefSeq and is a predicted model, not a curated record. Lineage: Eukaryota; Metazoa; Chordata; Testudines; Emydidae.
UACCACCUAGUCUUAUAACGCUUUUCUCUCCCUUUGGGCUUUUGUCUCCCUCAGGGAGUCGACUCGCUCUACUCCUCGGGACCUCCACUCACAGAGGGAAUAAAGCAACCCUGUUCGUUAGACCGGAGCCAACAUAAAACAGGAAGUUUAUUGAGCAUCUGAACACAGCAUCGGAAAGUUUCUGCACAGUAUAGCUAUGUCUCCCCUGCCCUCAGGGAGUCGACUCGCUCUACUCCUCGGGACCUCCACUCACAGAGGGAAUAAAGCAACCCUGUUCGUUAGACCGGAGCCAACAUAAAACAGGAAGUUUAUUGAGCAUCUGAACACAGCAUCGGAAAGUCUCUGCACAGUAUAGCUAUGUCUCCCCUGCCCUCAGGGAGUCUACUCGCUCUACUCCUCGGGACCUCCACUCACAGAGGGAAUAAAGCAACCCUGUUCGUUAGACCGGAGCCAACAUAAAACAGGAAGUUUAUUGAGCAUCUCAACACAGCAUAGGAAAGUCUCAGGACUCUCAGUCCUCACUUCGCACAGUACAGCUAAGUCUCCCCUGCCUCCAGGUAGGCUCUCUGCCUUUUCUCUCCCCACAGUCCAGAGACCCUGCGGUUUCCAACUGGGCAGCCGAGAUCACAGGCUCCAACCUGAUCAGGACUGCAGUUUGCUUGUUUGGCACUGUUCACUAUCCGAUCUCCUCCCAGUGAUCAGGCCCUGUUUCCUAAUGGCUUUACAUGUGGCGAGUCCAUGCGGUCGCACAUAGUAUCCAAAAGGCUUUAAGCUGGAGAAUCAGUGAGUAAUUCAUCUCAAGCAAGGCUCAGUUAUGUUUUGCUUUGCCUGUCAUGCUUGGGACAGCCGCCCAACUGAUUUUAAAUUUCCCGCAAACUCUGACCAGUUAUGACUGUCUCUUUGAUUGUAAAUUUCCCUAGCCGAUUUUUCCCCACAUGCUUGAGGGAAGCAUUGCUUUAGAAGUGACGAGUCUGAUCAGUAAUGACAUUUGUUUUCGCUGUUAUUUUCCCACACCGAUCGUCCCGUAAUGCUCAGGAUAGCAGCCUAAUUGAUUUAUAACUUGGAUUUCCCUGAGAACUUUGUCAUACGACCUGAUCAGUAUUGCCUUUCUUGCUGUUCAUAAUUGUCAUGCGCCCAUGUCGGCCACAAAAUCAGGAAGGUAUCCUAAUUGCUUAACCAUGCAGAUUCCCUGAGACAGUUGUCACAAGCACUGAUCAGUAAUAAGCUUUGCGUUCUUUGAAGGUUUCACGACUCGGUCUGUAAUGCUCAUGACAGCAGCCUAAGUGCUCUGAAAUUGACACCCUUGGAGUAAAGCGCCAGCCGCAAUGAUGAGACAUGAGUUGUGAUUUAUUUCUUGUUGGUUUUUUUUGCCACAAUCCUAGCGCUCCCAAAUUAUGAAUAACCUUUCCCAAUAGCUUUAUGUUGAAGAGUCCAUCAGAAAGUUCUCACAAACAGCGAUCAGUUAUGCUAUUUGCUUGUUUUAAAAAUAAGUUUCACGCCCCGUUCUCUUCCAAAUGCUCAGUACCGAAUCCUCAGGGAUGGAAGAUGUAGAGUUCAUGAGAAAUUUGUGACACGCUCCAUUCAGUGACGAAUGUCGUUGUUUCUUCUUUUCGCCCCAGACAGAGGUUCCCAGAGGAACCUCAGUCCAUCCGACCCCGCCCCAUUCAGAUGUGUCUUUGCUACAGGACCCUAACUGGGGGUCCGACCACCACCCCACAGCACCCGUGUCCCAGUGAGGGUAGGGAGCGAGCCCACAUCUUUGGUUGCCAGUGUGAUGCACCUCUCCCCUGUGCAGGGUUGUUGACCCACUCAGCUUCAGGGACUGGCUACAGACAGACAGGUAAAAGAAGCUUUGUAGUUCUUCCCUUGUGCUACUAGCCUGGGGGGAGAGUACUCCUUCCCUGACCUCUCCGCCGUCUGAUCUCUGGGUUCAGCUCUUUGGCCAUUACUGGCACGGGGGGCCGGAUCCUAUCUUAAAGAGACACAGUCACUUCCCAAGAGUACAUCAAGCUGCUGUGCUAAAGAAGCCCAGCUAACAGCCCUGCACCCCGAGGGUUCCUGUGUCUGCACAGGAACCCCGGGUGCAUGGCUGUUGUCUGGGAGCCUUUCCCCAAGUUACACGGCCCCUCGAGUCCUACAAGGGGGGAUCAGCCCGCCCUGGCCUUCAUGGGCACCCCUGAGUUGCGCUUCCUGGAGUCCCACUUUUGAGAGGUUUCUGGGUGACUCCCCUUCUGAGUCUCCGUUGUGGGUCUCCCUCCUCCCCCCCGAUCUGCUAUCCACAAACUCAUCCGCCAGUGCACCCCCACUGCACAUCUCUUUUAGCUUCCAGUCCACUAACCACAUCUUAUGAGGGCAGAUGUCAUACAGCUCCUCCAACCUCACCAGGUUAUACACGUCCUCGACGGUACUGGCUCCUUUGCCCUUUCCCCAUUUACAGAACUAUUCCCCCAGCAGGCUGGCGACCUCCUUGCCUGAGGUCUUGUGAGCACCAUGGAAUCAUUUCCUGUGUACGUGGGGGUCAGCUCAAACUCGACAGCAAAGCCUGUUUGAACAGGUCAUGGUCCCCCGUCUCAAUACCAUCCAUUUGGCUGAAUGCCUCUAUAGCCUUGAGACCCAGCAGGGGGCGGGGUUAGACAGCGGAGCCUGUCUGCCAGGUCAAUCUAGUUCAGAUCACAAGACUUCUCAAAAGCUGUGAGGUAGGCAUCAAUAUCCCUCCGCACCUUAAACUAGGGCAGCAUUUGGUGUCUAGAUGCCCUGCAGAACUGCCCCACUUAUCCCCUGGCAGGCCCUCUUGGCCUGCCUCUCUUCAGACUCCAGCUCAUGUUUUCAUUGCUCUGAGUGGUCAGUUAACCUCUGCUCCUUUGCCUCCACUCCUUCACUCUCAGCUCGUUUCCAUCUCUUCACAUCCACUGGGGGAAAGCCCCACUGGCAGUUGGGGAACUGGGUUUGGCGGCUCCCCUGCCACUACCCCAACUGCCUCCUGCUACUCCCAGGCUCUCUGGCCAAUCCGGAAGCCCCGCUGGGAUCUGAUCUUUAUCCUCAGACUGGUCACUCUCUACCAGCCGGUCAGUCAGCUGUUCCUGGGUGAGCCUCCCCAUGCUCAGCCCUCUCUCCAUGCACAGACAUGACAGGUCUCUCUUACGGAGCUGCUUAUAGGCCGUUUCCGUGCUGGGUCCUUCAAUUCCCUCAUUUUAUCGCUGGCAGUCACUCAUGCCCUGAAUUAUGAGAGUUUCUAUCCCUUAUCAUUUUGUUUUAAAUCCUAUGUGAUGCAACUUUGGCUGUUUACUAUUAAAAUAAACAUCCAAUCCCUUUUGUAAUCCUACUAAACUCUUGGCCUUGAGGGUAUAUUGUGGGAACAAGUUCUACAGGUGAAUUACAUAAAUCAAAUAGCAUUUCUUUUCAUCUGUUUCAAUUUUUUGUCUACCUCUGGACCUCUUCUAUUUCCGUUGACCACAAAUGAAAAUAAUUUUCUGGCUGAAGAUGUGUUAUUACUAGGUGUUAUCUGCCAUCGGGCUGGAUUAAUCACAUAGACCUGGGGCCUGAUUAUUUCGUUUUUACACUUUUUCUUUUGCACUCAUGGUCCUGAAAGCUAUCCAGGCCAAUAAGAUGGAAGCAUCGUGGGAGGGGCCAUUUAUGGUCCAAGAGUGCCUGGGAGCUGUUAAUUACCCCAUAGUGUUCCCGACCCUACCCUAAAACCUAAAGUAUACCAUGUUAAUUCUCUAAUGCCCUUUUAUUCCCGAGAUAUCAAGGUUCUCCAGUUUACGCCCAGGAGAGAGGCGCUGCUGAGUGGCCUGAAGGAGUCUACUAUGAAGGAAAAAGCAACAGUGGCGUAGAAGAGGAAGAAAUCCCAGCCAGUGUGGACGCAACCUGAACCAGGCUGGCCAGCACCAUCUGUGAUUUGAGGGGCGUGUGAUAAAUAAAGGUGGGGGGUAGCUCCCUUUUGUGGACAUCUAGCCAGCCAGUUAGAUAUAGAAUCCCUCUUGGCAGUUGUUCUCUACUUGCUUUACCUGUAAAGGAUUAACAAGUCCACAGGUAAAAGGAAAGGAGUGGGCACCUGACCAAAAGAGCCAAUGGGAGAGCUAGAACUUUUUAAAAUUGGAAAGAAACUUUCCCUUUGUCUGUUGUUGUUAUCUGGAGAGCAGAGACACAAAGCAGCAAUGCGGUAAGCAGCUUUAAAACCAGGUAUGAAAAAGCAUCAAUUCAUACCUUGAACCUCAGGGCCUGUGACCUUUCCCUUGUGACACACCCUCAUACACACUGCCUCCAAAACAAUGUGUGCCCCUCAGGGCGAGUCACCUAGCCCUUGUGAUACCCCCUCUUAUACACUGCCUCCAAAAGAUUGUGUGCCCCUCAGGGCCUGUAACAUGGUCCUUGUGACACCUCCCACCCCUCCCAAACACUGCGCAUCCCUCAGUCCCAUCACCUGACUCUUCUGAUACCCCGCUAUGCACAUUGCCUCCAAAACUCUGGGCGCCCCUCACAGCCAGUCAGCUUGCGCUUGUGACAACCCCGCUUACACAAAGCAUCCAAAACUCCAGGCGUCCCUCAUGGCUCAUCAUGUGGCCCUUGUGACACCCCCCCCAUACACAUUUCCUCCAAAUCACUGCAUGCCCCUCAGGGCCUGUAAUCUUGCCCUUUUGACACCUCUUUGUACACACUGCCUCCAAAACACUGUGGGCCCUUCAGAACCUGUCAUCUAGCCCUUGUCACACCCGCUGCCCAAGACACACAACCUCCAAAACAUUGUGCGUCUCUCAGUCCCAUCACCUAACGCUUCUGACACCCCCCUGUGAUGUUAUUGACAUGAAUUGUGACCGUAUAGAUCAUUGUUGCAACCAAGGUCCUAUAGUUGCACCAAAU